GCGGACGGGUGAGUAACGCGUGGGUAACCUGCCCUGUACAGGGGGAUAACAGUUAGAAAUGACUGCUAAUACCGCAUAAGCGCACGGGACCGCAUGGUCCGGUGUGAAAAACUCCGGUGGUAUGAGAUGGACCCGCGUCUGAUUAGUUAGUUGGCGGGGUAGCGGCCCACCAAGACGACGAUCAGUAGCCGACCUGAGAGGGUGACCGGCCACAUUGGGACUGAGACACGGCCCAAACUCCUACGGGAGGCAGCAGUGGGGAAUAUUGCACAAUGGGGGAAACCCUGAUGCAGCGACGCCGCGUGAGUGAAGAAGUAUUUCGGUAUGUAAAGCUCUAUCAGCAGGGAAGAAGUUGACGGUACCUGAGUAAGAAGCCCCGGCUAACUACGUGCCAGCAGCCGCGGUAAUACGUAGGGGGCAAGCGUUAUCCGGAUUUACUGGGUGUAAAGGGAGCGUAGACGGCAGUGCAAGUCUGAAGUGAAAGCCCCGGGCUUAACCCGGGAACUGCUUUGGAAACUGUACGGCUGGAGUGCUGGAGAGGUAAGCGGAAUUCCUAGUGUAGCGGUGAAAUGCGUAGAUAUUAGGAGGAACACCAGUGGCGAAGGCGGCUUACUGGACAGUAACUGACGUUGAGGCUCGAAAGCGUGGGGAGCAAACAGGAUUAGAUACCCUGGUAGU
Molecule: ribosomal RNA, 678 nt
Filed under: uncultured bacterium
Lineage: Bacteria
Description: bacterial SSU rRNA
Rfam family: Bacterial small subunit ribosomal RNA
Source: RNAcentral